UCCGUAGGCGGGCAAUUAAGUCAGAGGUGAAAUCCCACAGCUCAACUGUGGAACUGCCUUUGAUACUGGUUGUCUUGAGUUAUAGCGAAGUAGAUAGAAUAUGUAGUGUAGCGGUGAAAUGCAUAGAUAUUACAUAGAAUACCGAUUGCGAAGGCAGUCUACUAACUGUAUACUGACGCUAAUGGACGAAAGCGUGGGGAGCGAACAGGAUUAGAUACCCUGGUAGUCC
RNAcentral lists this ribosomal RNA (229 nucleotides) under uncultured bacterium. Its description in RNAcentral is "partial 16S ribosomal RNA". It matches the Rfam family "Bacterial small subunit ribosomal RNA", at positions 568 to 796 of the family's 1533-position model. The record is from RNAcentral.